ACCAAAUAUUAGUCCGGUAUCGAUAACUAACUUUUCGCAGAGCGACAGCCCUGCAACUAUCGAUCACCCAUCAGCUGGCAGGCGGCCAUGCAGUUCCACUGAAACUACAGCUGUUCAAAUUACAUAAAAAUGGCGAGCUCCGUGAUUCUGGCGGGACUUGGGGUGGCCGCCGUGGGCUUUGCCGGGAAGCACCUGAUCCGCCGGAUGCCCCAGAUGACCACCAAGUUCAACGAGGCCCUCAAGAACCUGCCCAAAUUCGAUGCGGAGAGCAUGGCGGCCUCCAAGUACUACAAGGGCGGCUUCGAUCCCAAGAUGAACAAGCGGGAGGCCUCCCUCAUCCUGGGUGUCAGCCCCAGUGCGUCGAAGAUCAAGAUCAAGGACGCUCACAAGAAGAUCAUGCUGCUGAACCACCCGGAUCGAGGGGGCUCACCAUACUUGGCGGCCAAGAUCAACGAGGCAAAAGACUUUCUAGACAAAGCCAAGUAGUCAUCUUACCUCCGCCUUUGAGUGCAAAUAAAGUAGUUUGUGAUUAGCAUAAAAAUUGCAAUGGCUGUAAUUACCUUUACCAUCGACUUUUACAAUUGCCUAAAAUUCUACGGCAUCCCAAGGAUUUACUACAAGUACUACACGAAAAGUAGCAGGACUGUUGAAAUUUUCUAUAGCCAUUUAAGUAUAUGAAUGUAUAAUUCGUUUUUAGCGUAUAAACAAAAUCUAGACAAUUAAACUUGAAAGGUAAAUGUGUA
Drosophila biarmipes is the source of this 743-nucleotide RNA transcript. It is a transcript of the gene named mitochondrial import inner membrane translocase subunit TIM14, with no coding region annotated. NCBI's taxonomy places the organism in Eukaryota, Metazoa, Arthropoda, Insecta, Diptera, Drosophilidae. The record is from RefSeq and is a predicted model, not a curated record. The transcript is spliced from 4 exons.